This 604-nucleotide long non-coding RNA is filed under the name Prunus persica (peach). Its description in RNAcentral is "long non-coding RNA (PPER_LNC008426)". Lineage: Eukaryota; Viridiplantae; Streptophyta; Magnoliopsida; Rosales; Rosaceae. The record is from RNAcentral.
AAAGGAUUAAAUUCAAUUAAAUAGAGAGGCAUCCUUUUCACCGAUGGCGUGCACGUGUGUAAGAGAAGAAGAAGAGAACAUUACAGUGUGCGUCACUUGAAAAUACUUCUUCACCCAAGGAUGAGUCUCCUUCUGACAUGUGUCGUAAGGACAGCGGAAUUAGCCGCAUACAUAGAGAGAGAAAGAGAGAGGAAGAGAGAGAGUUAUUAUUUUUAAUCUUUAUAUUCGCGUCUAGAUUUUACUUGAGCACAGUUGACUGCCAGAACAAAACAUUACUGGAAUUGAAAGGAUGCAUGAUUGGAACAUGAUGAACUGCUUGAUCUAAGACAUGGCUUUUUUAAAUUGAUUUUAACAAAAAAAAAUAAUUUUUUUUCUGUUUGUGGGGUCCAAGUUACAUAAGAGAUUCUUUAAAAAUAAAAAAUAAAAAAAAGGUUUCUUUGGCUCUUAAAUAGGAGAUUCUUCACACGUCCUGCCUCAAAGAAUUAGACACCCAAAAACCAAGAGAGGAGGAAGCUUGAACAACUCUGAGUCUCUCUCUAAGGAGGAGGAUACAUAAAUACCAAACUCUUUUUUUUUUUUGAGACAUCGAGAGAGAAAGAAAUUC